GACGAACGCUGGCGGCGUGCUUAACACAUGCAAGUCGAACGGAAAGACCCUGCUUUUGUGGGGUUCUCGAGUGGCGCAGGCGUGAGUAACACGUGUGUAACCUGCCCUUGUCUUUCGGGUAACUUCACGAAACUGGGGCUAAUACAGGAUAGGAUCUCCUGCUCCAUGGUGGGGGUUGGAACGUCUCGGCUGUUGGGGAUGGACUCGCGGAUUAUCAGCUUGUUUGUGGGGUAGUCGCUUACCCAGGCUGUGACGGAUAGCCGACCUGAGCGCGUGACCGGCGACAUUGGGACUGAGAGACGCACCAGACGGCUAUGGGAGGCAGCGGGCGGGAGCAUGGCACAGUGGGCGGAAGUGUGAGGCAGAAGCGCCGCGUGCGGAAAGACGGCUUGCUGGGUGUGAACAGCUGUCGCCUGUGACGAAGCGGGAGUGACGGUAAUGAGUAAAGAAGCACCGGCUAACUACGUG
Molecule: ribosomal RNA, 468 nt
Filed under: uncultured bacterium
Lineage: Bacteria
Description: partial 16S ribosomal RNA
Rfam family: Bacterial small subunit ribosomal RNA
Source: RNAcentral